GNCUGUACCAUAUGAAUAAGGACCUGCUAACUACGUGCCAGAAGCAUCGGUGAUGCGUAGGGUCCGANCGUUAUCCGGAUUUAUUGGGUGUAUAGAGAUGCGUANNNNGUUUGAUAAGUCUUGAGUUAAAGACCUCGGCUCAACCGAGGGAAAGCUUUCGAUACUAUCAGACUUGAGGCAUAGAGGGGUGAACGGAACUCCGAGUGGAGUGGUGAAAUACGUUGAUAUUCGGAAGAACAUCAGUGGCGAAGGCGGUUCACUGGCUAUUGCCUGACGCUCAGGCUCGAAAGCGUGGGUAGCAAAACGGAUUAGAUACCCGUGUAGUCCACGCCGUAAACUAUGGAUGCUAGGUGUUUGGUAUAACUACAUUUAACCUUCGGGUUUUAAGUAGAAGUACUGAGUGCCGCAGCUAACGCGUUAAGCAUCCCACCUGGGAAGUACGGCCGCAAGGCUAAAACUCAAAGGAAUUGACGG
Molecule: ribosomal RNA, 474 nt
Filed under: uncultured bacterium
Lineage: Bacteria
Description: bacterial SSU rRNA
Rfam family: Bacterial small subunit ribosomal RNA
Source: RNAcentral